RNAcentral lists this ribosomal RNA (466 nucleotides) under uncultured bacterium. Its description in RNAcentral is "partial 16S ribosomal RNA". It matches the Rfam family "Bacterial small subunit ribosomal RNA", at positions 28 to 507 of the family's 1533-position model. The record is from RNAcentral.
GAUGAACGCUGGCGGCGUGCUUAACACAUGCAAGUCGAACGAUGAAGCUCAGCUUGCUGGGUGGAUUAGUGGCGAACGGGUGAGUAACACGUGAGUAACCUGCCCUUAACUCUGGGAUAAGCCUGGGAAACUAGGUCUAAUACCGGAUAGGAGCGCCUACCGCAUGGUGGGUGUUGGAAAGAUUUAUCGGUUUUGGAUGGACUCGCGGCCUAUCAGCUUGUUGGUGAGGUAAUGGCUCACCAAGGCGACGACGGGUAGCCGGCCUGAGAGGGUGACCGGCCACACUGGGACUGAGACACGGCCCAGACUCCUACGGGAGGCAGCAGUGGGGAAUAUUGCACAAUGGGCGAAAGCCUGAUGCAACGACGCCGCGUGAGGGAUGACGGCCUUCGGGUUGUAAACCUCUUUCAGUAGGGAAGAAGCGAAAGUGACGGUACCUGCAGAAGAAGCACCGGCUAACUACGUG